This 694-nucleotide long non-coding RNA is filed under the name Equus caballus (horse). RNAcentral describes it as "lncRNA (ENSECAG00000055365.1)". The record is from RNAcentral. Lineage: Eukaryota; Metazoa; Chordata; Mammalia; Perissodactyla; Equidae.
CUCCACACGUCACUCGAGCGCCGCGCCUAUAAAUACCAGUCUUUCCACUCCCACAGCCGUUCUUCGCUUGCUUGGCGUGGGCGGUAGUUCUUCAAGCUGUAACUCUUGAGCUGUUAACUCUCAUAGAGCUGUAUACCGAUCAUGCCGGAGUUAUCUUCAAAAGUCCAACUAAACUCAUCAGUGUGUUCAUCAACCAAUAAUAUAUGACCGUCGUAUGAGAAUGGCACCCAAAUAACAUGAUGCUGGAAAUAAGAGCUCUGAUUUCGGAGAUGUGCUGGUAACUGGAAAUCAGCCUGCUGGGAUGUUUUACACCAUGGAAAUCAACAGAUAUUAUCAGUUGGGACUUUACCUGUUUUGUGGAUUAUCUAGAUUUAAGAACAUCUUGAAGAAAACAAGUGUGAUGUAUCUGUAACUAUUAUACUGUGAAUAGCCUGAAAUAUUAAAGAAAUAUUCUUCUGGUAUUUGAAAACUAUUAUCUGCUUCAGCAAACUAGUUGCUCAUGUCAUUGACAUCUGAGCAAUGUUUUGACAUACUUUUCCUUACUUCAUGAAAAGAAAAGAACCAAGUUUAGGGAAGGACUAUACUCAUUGGUCAAUGGUAUGAAUGAUUUCUGUGAUGAAAUGGAUAGUAAUCAGUUAUUUGCAGUUUGAUUUUGUAACACUAUUGUUGGCAAUAAAAUUAUAAAAAUAAACAG